Molecule: non-coding RNA, 72 nt
Organism: Lodderomyces theae
Lineage: Eukaryota; Fungi; Ascomycota; Pichiomycetes; Serinales; Debaryomycetaceae
Source: the annotation of a RefSeq genome assembly
GGGAUUAUAGAUUAAUUGGUAAAUCUUACGCUUUGCAUGCGUAUGUUAUCGGUUCAAUUCCGAUUGAUUCCA